Molecule: long non-coding RNA, 184 nt
Organism: Glossina fuscipes
Lineage: Eukaryota; Metazoa; Arthropoda; Insecta; Diptera; Glossinidae
Exons: 3
Source: RefSeq, a predicted model, not a curated record
UUGAAGUCGUGCUUUAGGUCCGCUCGCAAAGUCAAAUCCACCUAUACAGCCGCCACCUCAUAUAGAUGAACAUUCGCUACAUGCUAACGAUCAAAGAGCAUGCUUCCUUCUGCACCUCCACUCAUCGUUUCAGCAGAAUGGGAUACUUCCGUAGGCCAAUGAUGUCAGCACACCGGCAUACCAG